GACGAACGCUGGCGGCGUGCUUAACACAUGCAAGUCGAACGGAAAGGCCCUGCUUUUGUGGGGUGCUCGAGUGGCGAACGGGUGAGUAACACGUGAGUAACCUGCCCUUGACUUUGGGAUAACUUCAGGAAACUGGGGCUAAUACCGGAUAGGAGCUCCUGCUGCAUGGUGGGGGUUGGAAAGUUUCGGCGGUUGGGGAUGGACUCGCGGCUUAUCAGCUUGUUGGUGGGGUAGUGGCUUACCAAGGCUUUGACGGGUAGCCGGCCUGAGAGGGUGACCGGCCACAUUGGGACUGAGAUACGGCCCAGACUCCUACGGGAGGCAGCAGUGGGGAAUAUUGCACAAUGGGCGGAAGCCUGAUGCAGCAACGCCGCGUGCGGGAUGACGGCCUUCGGGUUGUAAACCGCUUUCGCCUGUGACGAAGCGUGAGUGACGGUAAUGGGUAAAGAAGCACCGGCUAACUACGUGCCAGCAGCCGCGGUGAUACGUAGGGUGCGAGCGUUGUCCGGAUUUAUUGGGCGUAAAGGGCUCGUAGGUGGUUGAUCGCGUCGGAAGUGUAAUCUUGGGGCUUAACCCUGAGCGUGCUUUCGAUACGGGUUGACUUGAGGAAGGUAGGGGAGAAUGGAAUUCCUGGUGGAGCGGUGGAAUGCGCAGAUAUCAGGAGGAACACCAGUGGCGAAGGCGGUUCUCUGGGCCUUUCCUGACGCUGAGGAGGGAAAGCGUGGGGAGCGAACAGGCUUAGAUACCCUGGUAGUCCACGCUGUAAACGGUGGGUACUAGGUGUGGGGUCCAUUCCACGGGUUCCGUGCCGUAGCUAACGCUUUAAGUACCCCGCCUGGGGAGUACGGCCGCAAGGCUAAAACUCAAAGGAAUUGACGGGGCCCCGCACAAGCGGCGGAGCAUGCGGAUUAAUUCGAUGCAACGCGUAGAACCUUACCUGGGUUUGACAUGGAUCGGGAGUGCUCAGAGAUGGGUGUGCCUCUUUUGGGGUCGGUUCACAGGUGGUGCAUGGCUGUCGUCAGCUCGUGUCGUGAGAUGUUGGGUUAAGUCCCGCAACGAGCGCAACCCUUGUUCACUGUUGCCAGCACGUUAUGGUGGGGACUCAGUGGAGACCGCCGGGGUCAACUCGGAGGAAGGUGGGGAUGACGUCAAGUCAUCAUGCCCCUUAUGUCCAGGGCUUCACGCAUGCUACAAUGGCUGGUACAGAGAGUGGCGAGCCUGUGAGGGUGAGCGAAUCUCGGAAAGCCGGUCUCAGUUCGGAUUGGGGUCUGCAACUCGACCUCAUGAAGUCGGAGUCGCUAGUAAUCGCAGAUCAGCAACGCUGCGGUGAAUACGUUCCCGGGGCU
Molecule: ribosomal RNA, 1346 nt
Filed under: uncultured bacterium
Lineage: Bacteria
Description: partial 16S ribosomal RNA
Rfam family: Bacterial small subunit ribosomal RNA
Source: RNAcentral